AAUGAGGUGACGUGCACCCUAAGGACCAAUGGUUUUCAAGAUGGGAAAGUGCCAGAUGACAAUCAAGAAUACCAGGUGACAUCAGUGCACCAAGAUUACCCUCCUAGAAUGCAGAUUCCAGCACCAAGGUGGAUGCUAUAUAAAUUCAGAAUCUGAACAGAGUACAACAAAUCAUGAGAGCUAUGCUGACAUUUUGCAGACCAAUAUCUGUCUUAAGAGGUUUGUCCCUAACCAAAUGAGUGCCUGGGUCCAAGGUACCAGGAUGACUGGGAGCUUUGUUGUUUUAGCCACAUGCUAGACAAUAUCCCAGUAA
This 313-nucleotide unclassified non-coding RNA is filed under the name Hevea brasiliensis (rubber tree). Lineage: Eukaryota; Viridiplantae; Streptophyta; Magnoliopsida; Malpighiales; Euphorbiaceae. The record is from RNAcentral.